GACGAACGCUGGCGGCGUGCUUAACACAUGCAAGUCGAACGGGAAGGCCCUGCUUUUGUGGGGUGCUCGAAUGGCGAACGGGUGAGUAACACGUGAGUAACCUGCCCUUGACUUUGGGAUAACUUCAGGAAACUGGGGCUAAUACCGGAUAGGAGCUCCUGCUGCAUGGUGGGGGUUGGAAAGUUUCGGCGGUUGGGGAUGGACUCGCGGCUUAUCAGCUUGUUGGUGGGGUAGUGGCUUACCAAGGCUUUGACGGGUAGCCGGCCUGAGAGGGUGACCGGCCACAUUGGGACUGAGAUACGGCCCAGACUCCUACGGGAGGCAGCAGUGGGGAAUAUUGCACAAUGGGCGGAAGCCUGAUGCAGCAACGCCGCGUGCGGGAUGACGGCCUUCGGGUUGUAAACCGCUUUCGCCUGUGACGAAGCGUGAGUGACGGUAAUGGGUAAAGAAGCACCGGCUAACUACGUG
This 468-nucleotide ribosomal RNA is filed under the name uncultured bacterium. RNAcentral's name for it is "partial 16S ribosomal RNA". It matches the Rfam family "Bacterial small subunit ribosomal RNA", at positions 28 to 507 of the family's 1533-position model. The record is from RNAcentral.